Chinchilla lanigera (long-tailed chinchilla) is the source of this 793-nucleotide long non-coding RNA. RefSeq lists it as uncharacterized. The transcript has 3 exons. NCBI's taxonomy places the organism in Eukaryota, Metazoa, Chordata, Mammalia, Rodentia, Chinchillidae. The record is from RefSeq and is a predicted model, not a curated record.
AAAGUGGACAGUGAGGGCUUCCGUAGAGACCGGUGGGGUGGGGCGUGAGCAGUGGGCAGUGAGGGCUUCUGCAGAGACCGGUGCGUGGGGGGGUGGGACGGUGGGGGCAGUUGACAGUGAGGACUUCCGCAGAGAUCGGCCCUGCCCAGUGUCCCCCAAACCCAAGGCCCAACUCACAACUUGGCCGCAGUGACUCCCAGAACCAGAAACAGGUCCCCAGCGUCAGCGAAGAGGACCAGGAACCACUCCCCAGCCUGCCAGAGAUGAGUCAGCCGGGCAGGGCCUCCAGGAGCAACUUCCUGCGCACGGCAUGUGGCCCCCAGCCCCGCCAAAGCCCCCUCCCCAGGCCCCAAGCCCCAGGCCUGCCAGCGUGUGUGGCAAGGAAGCCUGCAGAAAGGAAAGUGCUACAGCUGGCUGAACCCGCUCCUGAUACGGCCACCGUUUUUGCAACCCUGCGCCAGACAAAGACAGCGGGUGCAGGAGCCCCUUAUGUGAGACCUGGCUGGGCCACCAGCUCGCUGUGUGAUCUCCUGGGCGUCUGUGGGCUGUGGCUUCCUCAGCUGCAGUGCAGUCUUCAUCAGAUCUGCUCUGGCCACUGUCCCCCUGAUAUCACAUAUGUCCAUAGCCUCACAUAGGAUGCAGACUGCCAAAGUCCCCCAGCUCCACGAAAAGGUGAAUAGUUCAACAGCUAGGAAAUCAAGGAUCCUUUCCGUGUGUUAGCAGCUAUCAAGAAAGGCCCCGCUUCGGUGAUGACAUGAUGCAAAUAAAUAAAUAAAUAAAUAAAAGAUAAAAA